Cheilinus undulatus (humphead wrasse) is the source of this 695-nucleotide long non-coding RNA. RefSeq lists it as uncharacterized. The record is from RefSeq and is a predicted model, not a curated record. The transcript has 4 exons. NCBI's taxonomy places the organism in Eukaryota, Metazoa, Chordata, Actinopteri, Labriformes, Labridae.
GGUGAACAGCCCGGGCUCCACGGAGUGAAAAGUACCGUCAGGAGGACGCUUUACCGCGGCAGGAAGAGUCUGAGAGGUGCGGAUGAAACAUGGGAUAAAAACCUGAGUCUGGUGUCCUCCUCACCUGUCUCACCUGCCUGCUGCUGGCUGAGCUUUAACAUCACACAGAGAACCGAGCCAUCAGGGUCUUUUCUAUGAGGACUGUCAUCUGUCUUUGGAGGAAGAAGAUUUUGCAUUUUUAAAGACGUACUUGAAUCACACUGAUAAUGAAAAGGUAGAGGUAACCUUGGAUGGGAGUGUAGGGAGGCUCACCUGGAUGAACUGCCCUGUACGUACCUGCUGGAUGUUUGAAUGGACUGAUAUGUGUCUGAACUAUCCUCUGUUCAUGAAAGGACUUUCUUCUUCAUUCGAAGGUAAAACCCACUUAAAUUGUUGUGACCUCAGGACUCUCAGGAAUGGGUUUGGAGGUCAGGAAUUAUUUUGGUACAGUUUAAGAAAUCAUGACAGGAUCAUUAGAAAUGUAAAUGGUUGUUAUAUUCACAUGAAAGCUCACCUACAACAUAAAACUACUCACACAUUUCAGAAGUGUACUGUCACUGUAAUGUUUAGAUAUUAAUUGUCAAUUUCUCUAAUGUCUGAUUAUUUGGGAUUCAUUUAAUUCAAACAGCUGAGGCUUUUGAAAACUUUAAAGCUGA